GGGCCCGCACAAGCGGUGGAGUAUGUGGUUUAAUUCGAUGCAACGCGAAGAACCUUACCAGGGUUUGACAUCCUGCGAAUCUCUUGGAAACGAGAGAGUGCCUUCGGGAGCGCAGUGACAGGUGGUGCAUGGCUGUCGUCAGCUCGUGUCGUGAGAUGUUGGGUUAAGUCCCGCAACGAGCGCAACCCACGUCUUUAGUUGCCAGCAUUUAGUUGGGCACUCUAGAGAGACCGCCGGUGAUAAACCGGAGGAAGGUGUGGAUGACGUCAAGUCAUCAUGCCCCUUACAUCCUGGGCUACACACGUACUACAAUGCUACGGACAAAGGGCAGCAAGUUCGCGAGGACAAGCAAAUCCCAUAAACCGUGGCUCAGUUCAGAUCGUAGGCUGCAACUCGCCUGCAUG
RNAcentral lists this ribosomal RNA (404 nucleotides) under uncultured bacterium. RNAcentral's name for it is "bacterial SSU rRNA". It matches the Rfam family "Bacterial small subunit ribosomal RNA", at positions 917 to 1322 of the family's 1533-position model. The record is from RNAcentral.